Arabidopsis thaliana (thale cress) is the source of this 266-nucleotide long non-coding RNA. RefSeq annotates it as other RNA. The record is from RefSeq. Lineage: Eukaryota; Viridiplantae; Streptophyta; Magnoliopsida; Brassicales; Brassicaceae. The transcript has a single exon.
AGUCGUUGUUAGCGUCGUUGGGAUUAGAAACGCUGAGAGAAUUUUGAAUAUGAUCGUGAUUAUUGAGAGAAGAAGAAGAAGGACGACAUUGGAAAAAAAAAACAACGACGUACACCAUCGACGAGAUUGCCAUCACCACCCAUUGAUUUAGGCUAACAAUAAUAAUCACAGAUUUUGGGUUUCCGAUUUUACUCUAAGUCAACCGUUCUUCGUCAAUCAUUACCAUAUUUUUUGUCGUUUCUCUCGCUGUUUUUUUCUCACAAGGA